RNAcentral lists this long non-coding RNA (227 nucleotides) under Mytilus galloprovincialis (Mediterranean mussel). Lineage: Eukaryota; Metazoa; Mollusca; Bivalvia; Mytilida; Mytilidae. The record is from RNAcentral.
AAUUUUGUCGCUAUCUUUUUUUGUUACGAAGGAGAUGCACACAGAUGAUAAACAGUGAAUAGGGAGAUAACUCUUACAAAGAAAAUGGUUCGGCUUAGCAGGGUGAAAUUUAAAAGCGCAUAAACUAUACGAUACCAUAUGAAAAUAUCUAAGCGACAUAUUGCGAAACAAACAUUUAUCGCAAGAACAAAAUUUGGCGGAAAAAAAAAAAAAAAUAAUAAUUAAAA